UGCAAGUCGAACGCGGUUAAGGGGUAACUCUUGACUGAGUGGCGAACGGGUGAGUAAUGCAUCGGAACGUACCUUGUUGUGGGGGAUAACCAGUCGAAAGGCUGGCUAAUACCGCAUAUUCCCUGAGGGGGAAAGCGGGGGACCUGAAAGGGCCUCGCGCGAUGGGAGCGGCCGAUGUCGGAUUAGCUAGUAGGUUGGGUAAAGGCUGACCUAGGCGACGAUCCGUAGCUGGUCUGAGAGGAUGAUCAGCCACACUGGGACUGAGACACGGCCCAGACUCCUACGGGAGGCAGCAGUGGGGAAUUUUGGACAAUGGGGGCAACCCUGAUCCAGCCAUGCCGCGUGAGUGAAGAAGGCCUUCGGGUUGUAAAGCUCUUUCGGACGGAACGAAACGGUUACGGUGAAUAGCCGUGACUAAUGACGGUACCGUAAGAAGAAGCACCGGCUAACUACGUGCCAGCAGCCGCGGUAAUACGUAGGGUGCGAGCGUUAAUCGGAAUUACUGGGCGUAAAGCGUGCGCAGGCGGUGCGUUAAGACAGCUGUGAAAUCCCCGGGCUUAACCUGGGAAUGGCGGUUGUUACUGGCGCUACUGGAGUGUGGCAGAGGGAG
This 610-nucleotide ribosomal RNA is filed under the name metal-contaminated soil clone K20-15. RNAcentral describes it as "bacterial SSU rRNA". It matches the Rfam family "Bacterial small subunit ribosomal RNA", at positions 56 to 660 of the family's 1533-position model. Lineage: Bacteria; Pseudomonadati; Pseudomonadota; Betaproteobacteria. The record is from RNAcentral.